GAUGAAGAACGUAGCGAAAUGCGAUAAGUAGUGUGAAUUGCAGAAUUCAGUGAAUCAUCGAAUCUUUGAACGCACAUUGCGCCCGCCAGUAUUCUGGCGGGCAUGCCUGUUCGAGCGUCAUUUCAACCCUCAAGACCCAGCGGCCUGGUGUUGGGGACCGGCGACCUCGCCCGAGCCCGCCCUCCGGGGCGCGUGCCCGGUGCGUCCGCCGCCCCCGAAAUGAAUUGGCGGCCUCGUCGCGGCCUCCUCUGCGUAGUAGCACAACCUCGCAAGCGGGAGCGCGACGCGGCCACUGCCGUAAAACGCCCAACUUUUUUAGAGUUGACCUCGGAUCAGGUAGGAAUACCCGCUGAACUUAAGCAUAUCAAUAAGCGGAGGA
This 379-nucleotide unclassified non-coding RNA is filed under the name soil metagenome. Its description in RNAcentral is "partial contains 5.8S ribosomal RNA, internal transcribed spacer 2, and large subunit ribosomal RNA". The stretch from base 1 to 120 matches the Rfam family "5.8S ribosomal RNA", at positions 35 to 154 of the family's 154-position model. The record is from RNAcentral.